RNAcentral lists this ribosomal RNA (441 nucleotides) under uncultured Prevotella sp. RNAcentral describes it as "bacterial SSU rRNA". It matches the Rfam family "Bacterial small subunit ribosomal RNA", at positions 355 to 794 of the family's 1533-position model. The record is from RNAcentral. Lineage: Bacteria; Pseudomonadati; Bacteroidota; Bacteroidia; Bacteroidales; Prevotellaceae.
UGAGGAAUAUUGGUCAAUGGGCGAGAGCCUGAACCAGCCAAGUAGCGUGCAGGACGACGGCCCUAUGGGUUGUAAACUGCUUUUAUAAGGGAAUAAAGUGGGUCACGUGUGACUUUUUGCAUGUACCUUAUGAAUAAGGACCGGCUAAUUCCGUGCCAGCAGCCGCGGUAAUACGGAAGGUCCGGGCGUUAUCCGGAUUUAUUGGGUUUAAAGGGUGCGCAGGCGGACUCGUCAAGUCAGCGGUAAAAUUCGGGGCUCAACCCCGUCCUGCCGUUGAAACUGCGAGACUGGAGUGCGACAGAGGAAGGCGGAAUGCGAGGUGUAGCGGUGAAAUGCAUAGAUAUCGCGCAGAACUCCGAUUGCGAAGGCAGCUUUCCAUGUCGUGACUGACGCUGAGGCACGAAAGCGUGGGGAUCGAACAGGAUUAGAUACCCUGGUAGU